UAUGACUACUAGCAAAAUAAAGUCAUUUGUUAGGUUUUAAACUAAUUUUUAAUUAACUAAAAUAAACAAAUAAAGAUGCAAAGUUUUUUUAUCAGAAUGAUGAUGAAGGUGAGAGAUAGAGUUUUUGAGCAUGUUGAGAACUGCUAAACAGAAUAUCAAAAAAGGAAAGGGGAAGAUCAUCAUGAUGGUCAAAAGUGGAAAGUUCAAUAAGUAGUACAAGAAAUCUAAACAUAAGAGUAACAGGAAGGGCACGAAAGUUGCCAAGCCCAAACCUGCUACCCAUGCUUCGAAGUCUCUAAGGCAGUGGGGGCUAAGGAGGACACAUGUUUCCAGUGCAGUAACACCAAACAUUAGAAGAGGAACCGUCCAAAGUACUUGGAAGAUAAGAAGAGUAAAAUUACAUUAGAUUAAUACUUAAUUUAAACUACUUUCAAAUCAACCUUCAAAUUGACCAAC
Molecule: long non-coding RNA, 456 nt
Filed under: Medicago truncatula (barrel medic)
Lineage: Eukaryota; Viridiplantae; Streptophyta; Magnoliopsida; Fabales; Fabaceae
Description: long non-coding RNA (MTRU_LNC001365)
Source: RNAcentral